GAAGGAGUGGAGUCAACCCUUGGGAAAACCCCCCUUGGAAAAAAGUUCUUGACGAGAUAUGGAUUUUUCUGUUAAAGUAUAUCUUCAAGUAAGUUGUAGGUUGGUUUAUAUGUUUGGGUUAAUAAUAGAAGGAACACAAAACCUCUUAUGGCUUAUGAAGAUUAUGAAAGGAGGUUUUGUGCAAUGGCAACAGGAAAAGUAAAAUGGUUCAAUGAUUCCAAAGGUUUUGGAUUUAUUGAACAAGAGUCUGGCGACGAUGUGUUCGUGCAUUUUUCUGCUAUUCAGGGCGAUGGUUUUAAGACCCUGAAAGAAGGUCAGAAGGUGAACUUUGACGUCGUAAAAGGGCCAAAAGGUCCGCAGGCGGCAAAUGUGAUGCCAGAGUAAAUAAGGUCACAUAUAACCAAAAAGAGAAGCCCGCUCCUCCCCCUUUAUCCCCCUCUAUGAGGGGGACAGGGAGAGGGGGCGGGCUUUUU
Deltaproteobacteria bacterium GWF2_42_12 is the source of this 473-nucleotide non-coding RNA. The record is from Rfam. NCBI's taxonomy places the organism in Bacteria, Deltaproteobacteria.